Molecule: long non-coding RNA, 1454 nt
Organism: Gadus chalcogrammus (walleye pollock)
Lineage: Eukaryota; Metazoa; Chordata; Actinopteri; Gadiformes; Gadidae
Exons: 3
Source: RefSeq, a predicted model, not a curated record
ACAGACGCUAGCUACUGUCAAAGUCUAAUCUGUCACUGUCGAACGUGUAUUACGAUGCAGGAACAGCAAACGCCAACAAGAUUUCUUAACGAGUGUUUUAUAUCAGCCUUGAUGUUUGCCUGUUGUGUUGAGUAAUAAUAGUUUAAGUACAGCCACGGUUUUGUGUAUAUAAAAGUAACAUUACUUAGCUACCUAACGUUUCUUUCCAUGUAGUAACAUGUUAUAGAUUUGAUGAUGCGAGUAAACCCAGUACAAUUGAAGCUUAAUGAAUUUGUAUGUGUUAUUUCAUUCAGUGUCCAAUAAAGACAAGCUGACAGUGCAGGUCAGCGUGAGAGCCUUGUGCUACAGGUCGAUGGGGAAGAGCGAGGCACCACAGUUUGAGUCUAGGCAGGAAGCUGUGUUCAUCCCUGUUCAGUGGUGUUUGUUUGGUUAAGCAGUAGCUAAGUGUAGUCCUCAAGGGCCACCAACUUGAAUGUUUUUCAUGUCUCCCUGUUUUUCACACACAAUUUAAUAUAGUCAAGGUAAUGAGUACAAGGCUACAACUUUUCAAUAAACAAGAAUAUUUAUUGUCGUUUGCACAGCAGAAGUACAGGUACAUUGGAAUAAUUGUGAUUAUAGGAGUCCGCUUUAAAAAAAAACACAUCUUUAUUUUAAGAGGGAGAGAAUAUAACAGUAAGCAUUCAGGGUGUUAGGCUUUUUCUAGCACAGUUGAAGUACUUACCUUCAUAAGAAACAAGUUGUUUUUGACACCCAUGAUGCUGAGGUUAUAUUUCUAAUGAUUUACCUUUUUCUCUUAGAUCAAGCUUUGUGAUUCAUCAGCCAAGGGAUGAAAAAAGAAAGAGUUAAUCUAUGGGCUGGAGCAGCUGUCUCUGAGAGGAAAAGAAAAAAACAUCAGUCACCUCCCUUUUACCUGUAUUGUGACUUGUGCCACUACGCAACGGUUGCUCUACCGGAUGGCGUCGUAACUAAUCCCUGGCACUCAGCUGACAGAGUAGUGUUCUUGUCCGGGCCGUAUCUUUGGGAGGCGCGGUUUGGUGGUUUGCCGUGUACUUGUGUGUAGAUAAGUAGGGUGUUACCUGCUCAAUUCAUACAUUUUUACAAUUGUUUAUUAAUAGUAUUUUGUUCUAGGACCAGCAUUGGUGGAGUUGGAGACGGUCACAUUCUGGCGCUGGCGCUUCAGUGCUCCUAUUUUCAUCUCAUAGAAUAAUAACACAACUUUUUUCAACCAUUUAAAAAUAAACUUUUGUAGACUUGAACUGGAAACACGUCUCUGUAAGUCUUUACACAAAUCUGUAUCAUAAAUGUUGUUUGUUUUUGUACUAUUGGUGUGGUCACAUUCAUAUAUAUAAAUUCUGAUAAGACAUGGACAUCCCCAACUCCAAUUACACCAUCUCUCAACAUGCCACUACUUGUGUCCUAUUAAUCAUUCACAGACCUAUUAAGAAAUAAUUUGG